CUCUCUCUCUCUCUCUCUCUCUCUCUCUCUCUCUCUCUCUCUCUCUCUCUCUCUCUCUCUCUCUCUCUCUCUCUCCCUCUCUCUCCCUCUCUCUCUCUCUCUCUCUCUCUCUCUCUCCCUCCCUCUCUCCCUCCACCAUGCAGACCUGACUGUGGCUCCCUUGUUGAACACAGUGUGCUGGCCCCAAGCCUAAUAAGGGGAUCUGUGUGGCUGCCUCCUCUCCUCUUCCCUUCCGGCGACAAAUGUUGAGCGUGCCCAGGACUGCGUGGCGCUCGCUGCCCUGUGGCGAGGUACAGCCGAGGAGGAUGUGGAGGACUGGGCACAGGGACUGGGGAAGGACGGACACCGAGGGGAGAGGAAGAGGAGGAAGAGGAGGAGGGGGGGGGGGAGGGGGGGACGGGGGACCAAAAGGCUUUCUCUGGAACUCAGCCCUUUACCUGUUCAGCCUGUCUUCCAAGAGCGCUCUCAACGUGGUGAAUGCUUUGCUGUAUCAUGUAUACAUACCGGACAUUAAAAUGUUUAACAAAAGCUGAGAGGGUAGGAAGCUUCUGUGAUUUUUGUUGGCAUACAGCCGUCCCUCAAGACGCAUAUUGGGCACGUGAAAGAUUUCAUGGUAGGUGGAAAGCCUUAUCUCUUCAGAUCGGUUUCACGGCGUGAGAAUGUGUCAUUUCAGAGACGUCGAAAUGUGACGUCGCAGAAAAAGACAAGUCAUUUUUUCCAGCGCAUGUGGCUACAAAUGACUUCUCAUCUCUCUGCCAGAGAUUUUGUCCACCUCAGGGCUGGCUGGUGUUCAACAUUUCGGGGGGAAUGAGGCUCAGCCAACAGAAGAACAUUUGGGACUUAGCAGUCAACAACCUCUACACUGAUCCUCAGCAAGAGGCCAUUUUAAGACAAAACCCUCAAGAUUUAGACAUUUGAGAGCAGUUUGUUUACCAUAACUGGGUAUGCUUGUGAAUGUUUAUCCUAGAGGAAUAGUUGAGUAAUAAAUCUAGAGUGUGUUAUAGCCCAGUUCAGCUCAUACAGCAAUAUGACAGUCAUUCCUCAAAAGCUCAGUACCAUCCAAAAAAAACUAGAGGCCGAAUAUGCUUUCGAAACAGCUGCAUUCUGAUUCCUAUGUGCUACAUAAGGCUAUGUUAAGCUUUAAAUGCUAACUGAAGUGGUUUACUUUACAAAAUAAAAAUAAAACCAUUACAUUUGUAAAGCGAGCAAUUAUUUGGGA
Molecule: long non-coding RNA, 1219 nt
Organism: Clupea harengus (Atlantic herring)
Lineage: Eukaryota; Metazoa; Chordata; Actinopteri; Clupeiformes; Clupeidae
Source: Ensembl